Molecule: long non-coding RNA, 339 nt
Filed under: Homo sapiens (human)
Lineage: Eukaryota; Metazoa; Chordata; Mammalia; Primates; Hominidae
Description: HSALNT0347304
Source: RNAcentral
CUCAUUUUCUCCUGCUGCCCUCCAUGUAAGAAGUGGCUUUUGCCUCCUGCCGUGAUUCUGAGGCCUCCCCAGCCAUGUGGAACUUUAAACACAAUUUAACCCCUCUUUCUCUUCUCAGUCUCGGGUAUGUCUUUAUCAGCAGCAUGAAAACGGACUAAUACACUCCUGGAGGCAUUGGAGAUGGUUUCAGGUAGUCCCCAGAUGUACUUCAAAAGUCUGUUAAUAUUAAAUUAAGUAGGUUUAUAUCUGAGGGUAGGUAUUAUUGCUAGGAAGAAAAGCCAUAAAGAAAGAAGUUUGUUGAGCAAAAAUGAAAGAGAAUAGAAGCUCAUAAUAUUAUGU